AAUGAGUUCAAUAUACCCAAGCAGGUGGUGUCCCCCGUCCUCCCUGUGGCUGGUCUGAAAGCCUCGCUCUUCAGCCUCAUCGCCACCCUCACCCUCAGCUCCCUGAAUUCAGCUCUGCCUUUGGGUUAAGGAGAGAAACAGGAUAAUUUGGAAGGACUUUGUGGAGUUUGCUAAGGACAGUGCAAGGUGAGAGGAAGUGAAAGGUUGUUAUUAGUUUUAAGUGCCUAUUAAGUGUAGAGUAACUGAUUCUUCAGACUCUUACAGGAAUUGAAAAGACCAGAUAACAUGAAUGUUCACUACAGAUGUCCCAUAAAAGUCAGAUGUUGAAAAAUGAAUCAAGCUUUGAGGGGAAAAAAGAGCACAGAUGUGUCACCGCCUAGCAAUGGCUCCAGGUGGAGAGCAGCAGGGCUGAACCACCUGUGGGUUAUGAUGCUGUGACAGAGGAAGCCUCAGGAACAAAUGCUGAAAUUUUGAAAACAGAAUUUGGCAUCCUUGGUGGGCCCACUGGCCCCCCAGUGGUGUGGCAGCCCCUAUUGCCAGAAGAGGCAGGGAGCAGCCCUGGGUCAAAGCAACUUUUUGAGGAGGACCUGGCUGCUUUCUCCAUCUCAUUGUUGUUCAAACAGCUUGCAGCAGGGAGUGAUAACCAUGGCAGCAAAGGCCAUGAACUUCUGGAAGUCACAUUCACCA
This is a long non-coding RNA of Otolemur garnettii (small-eared galago), 687 nucleotides long. RefSeq lists it as uncharacterized. The record is from RefSeq and is a predicted model, not a curated record. The transcript is spliced from 3 exons. NCBI's taxonomy places the organism in Eukaryota, Metazoa, Chordata, Mammalia, Primates, Galagidae.